GACGAACGCUGGCGGCGUGCUUAACACAUGCAAGUCGAACGGAAAGGCCCUGCUUUUGUGGGGUGCUCGAGUGGCGAACGGGUGAGUAACACGUGAGUAACCUACCCUUGACUUUGGGAUAACUUCAGGAAACUGGGGCUAAUACCGGAUAGGAGCUCCUGCUGCCUGGUGGGGGUUGGAAAGUUUCGGCGGUUGGGGAUGGACUCGCGGCUUAUCAGCUCGUUGGUGGGGUAGUGGCUUACCAAGGCUUUGACGGGUAGCCGGCCUGAGAGGGUGACCGGCCACAUUGGGACUGAGAUACGGCGCAGACUGCUACGGGAGGCAGCAGUGGGGAAUAUUGUACAAUGGGCGGAAGCCUGAUGCAGCAACGCCGCGUGCGGGAUGACGGCCUUCGGGUUGUAAACCGCUUUCGCCUGUGACGAAGCGUGAGUGACGGUAAUGGGUAAAGAAGCACCGGCUAACUACGUG
This 468-nucleotide ribosomal RNA is filed under the name uncultured bacterium. RNAcentral describes it as "partial 16S ribosomal RNA". It matches the Rfam family "Bacterial small subunit ribosomal RNA", at positions 28 to 507 of the family's 1533-position model. The record is from RNAcentral.